CCUACGGGAGGCAGCAGUGGGGAAUAUUGCACAAUGGGCGCAAGCCUGAUGCAGCCAUGCCGCGUGUGUGAAGAAGGCCUUCGGGUUGUAAAGCACUUUCAGUCAGGAGGAAAGGUUGGUAGUUAAUAGCUACCAGCUGUGACGUUACUGACAGAAGAAGCACCGGCUAACUCCGUGCCAGCAGCCGCGGUAAUACGGAGGGUGCGAGCGUUAAUCGGAAUUACUGGGCGUAAAGCGUACGCAGGCGGUUUGUUAAGCGAGAUGUGAAAGCCCCGGGCUCAACCUGGGAACUGCAUUUCGAACUGGCAGACUAGAGUGUGAUAGAGGGUGGUAGAAUUUCAGGUGUAGCGGUGAAAUGCGUAGAGAUCUGAAGGAAUACCGAUGGCGAAGGCAGCCACCUGGGUCAACACUGACGCUCAUGUACGAAAGCGUGGGGAGCAAACGGGAUUAGAUACCCCGGUAGUCCACGCCGUAAACGAUGUCUACUAGAAGCUGGGGUCUUCGGACAACUUUUUCAAAGCUAACGCAUUAAGUAGACCGCCUGGGGAGUACGGCCGCAAGG
RNAcentral lists this ribosomal RNA (562 nucleotides) under marine gamma proteobacterium DIL-3. RNAcentral describes it as "bacterial SSU rRNA". It matches the Rfam family "Bacterial small subunit ribosomal RNA", at positions 338 to 893 of the family's 1533-position model. The record is from RNAcentral. Lineage: Bacteria; Pseudomonadati; Pseudomonadota; Gammaproteobacteria.